UUUUUUUUUUUUUUUGCUUUUUAGGGGCUCAUCCGUGGCAUAUGGAAGUUCCCAGGCUAGGAGUCGAAUCAGAGUUAUAGCCUCCAGCCUACACCACAGCCACAGCAACACAGGAUCUGAGGCAUGCCUGCGACCUACACCACAGCUCACGGUUAACUGCUAAGCCACGAAGGGAAUUCCGAAGCAUCAGUAUUGAUUGUCCGAGUUUUUCGGGAUACCCUUAUCAAUAAGUUAUCCUCGACUAUGAGUUAUUCUCACAAAUGUUCACUGGUAAGGAUGACACCAAAGUUGACACAUCAUUGCAUGUUCCAACAUGCUGGAGGCACAAACAGUAGGUCAUUACAAAUUCCAGCAGCUACUCUUUCUCCUAGAGAGGUGUGCCAAGUACGACUUGUAGUCCAAAGGAGGAGAAAGGACUAUUUCUCUUUCUAGAUACCAAUGUGAUGAAGCCUGAAGCUAAAGAUAUCCAUGGCAGUUGCUCAGUUAUGACGGGCAGAAGUAGGGCUAUAAGAAAUAACCUUUGUCUAUAGCAGCUACAGAGAGAACAAACAAGAUCUAAAGUUAGCAGAAGGAAAGAAAUCAUAAAGAUCAGAGCAGAAAUCAAUGAAAUAGAAAUGAAGAAAACCACAGAAAAGAUCAAUGAAACAAAAAGCUGGUUUUCUGAAAAGAUCAGCAAAAUUGAUGAACCCUUAGCCAGACUUAUCAAGAAAAACAAAGAGAGGACUCAAAUCAAUAAAAUUAGAAAUGAAAAAGAAGUUAUACCAGACAUCACAGAAACACAAAGGAUCAUAAGAGACUACUACAUGCAAAUCUAUGCAAAUAAAACGGAAAGCCUAGAAGAAAUGGACAAAUUCUUAGAAAAGAAAUACCUUUGGGGGAAAUACUUUGCUCAAAGCAGAGAACUUGUUUUGCUGUUUAACUUGUUCUGGCUCCAAGGGGUUCCACUUUCCUAACUCCCACUGACUAUAUAGAGAGUGAUCUGUAACUUUGAUUCAUUAUGUUUCAGAGUUUUGUUCAACUUAAAAAAAAAAAUUAGAAGCCCUGCCCAGUCCCGUGGGAAACCCAAACAACCUGUCUGAAGCCAGUAAGGCACCAGUAAUGGAGUUUCAGACACACAGAAUGAGACCAGCCCCAUCCGUAGAAAUACAAUGUGAGACACCUAUAUCACUUACAUUUUUCUAGUAAACACAUGUUAAAAAGUAAAAAGAAACAGGUGAAAUUAAUGAUAAUUAUUCUAUUUAGCCAAUGUAUCAAAAUAUAUUGAAACCCAUAUACUAUCCCUUCAACAGUGCUCAACAGCCGCAUGUUGUUAGCAGAACUAACACAGGAACAGUGGGGUCAGAGCCGUAAUAUCCCAAAGUUCUCCAGUUAGGGUUUGGUUUGGCUUUAACAACAAAUUUACUAAGUGAUCAAUCCCACUGCCCAGGGCUUCCUGAAUACUAUUCCUGGAAACUGACUACUAACAAGAGUUCUCAAUGUUUUAAUAAGUUAUUCUGCUAACCACUAUUUCGUAAAUAAACCUGUUUCGGUGGCAGGUCUUUUAUUUGUGCACGUGCGUUAAUGCAGACAAAACACAAAACCCGUACAACUCAACAGUUCUGAUGAUGAGAAACCUUAUUAAAACCUUCUUAGCCACAAGGAAAAGGGCAUUUUAAAAAGGCAAGGGUGAAAUGCGGGCUGAGCUGUAUCUCUAGAUAAAGUGAUCCAGCUACUGGUACAUCUGAAACAAAACAACCUCAGCAUGCACUGGUCCAGGGCUGUCACAUGAUCAUGAAGCAGCUACACCUUCUUCUUCUUUUUUUCUUUUUUUUAAGGGCCGCACCUGCAGCAUGUGGAAGUUCCCAGGCUAGGGGUUGAAUCAGAGCUACAGCUGCCAGUGUAUACCAUAGCCACGCCAGAUCUGAGCCACAUCUGCAACCUACACCACAACUUUGGCAACGCCAGAUCCUUAAGCCACUGAGCAAGGCCAGGGAUCGAACCCGCAUCUUCAUGGUUCCUAGUAGGAUUUGUUAACCACUAAUCCACGAAGGGAACUCCCAGCUACACCUUCUGAAACCAUUACAAACCCUCUCGGUCUAACAAAGACCAGUCACUAUUUCACUGAAAGUGCUUCCUCCUAACUAUCAAGCCUUCUCUCCAGGUUCUCUCUGACACAAACGUCUCCUUGCCAAACAUGACGUGAAGGUGAGAGACCCUCCUCUCGUGGGCCCCCCAAAUCACCUGGGACUGGUAGUUGGAGGCAGCCGUGACACACAUGAAAAUAAAUAGUGUACUUCUGGUGAACAAGGAGAUUAAGAGAGGGUAGAGGGAAAAGGUGGAGAGAAUGCAAAACAAGAGAAUGAAAGAAAAGCAAAUGAAUUAAGUAAUUUUAAAAAAAGAAGUAUUUGUUCUCUCUCAACAUCUAAGGAAAGGAGGGAGGAAGGGAGGGAGGAAGGAAGGAAGGAAGGAAAUGAAGCACUAAAAAUGAAGUACUAGCCUAAAGGUCAACUCUAGUUAAUAAUAAAAUCCAGGGUGAGUGUCUUAAUGCUUGAGUGAGGCAGCACACAAGCUUUCUGAUAUAACUAACUCAAGUGGAUUCACCAUGAAGCUAAUGAUGCUUAAGCAGCAAGGACCCUUUCAAAGCCCUGGGAAGAGCUCUAAUAUUUUUCCUAUGGUCACAUGUCCACAAAAUUUGCAUGCACACAUUAACACACACAAAGAUACUAUAAUCAGAAUCUUUUUAAGACUAUCUUUUUUCCAUUUUGGCUUCCACCUUAGUAGAUCUGUAUGGAAGUGGGACAGGGUAUAUUUUAAGAAUGUGGCUAAGGAGGAGUCAGGAAUACACUUACUUUGGGGUUUCGUGGAAUAUAUCUCUGAGGUUCACGGUCACCUCUGUGUAUUGUUAUGUCAUUGCUAGCUACCAUCACAGUGUAAAAAGGACUUCCAGGCACAACACUGACUCAGUGUCAUGACAUGAAGAUGUGAGACCAGCGGGCACAUGAUAAGAAUAUGUCCCAUGGCAUUCAGUACAAGAAUUAUGUGGGCACAAGAAGAGAACCAGGGUUUAAACUGUACAGAGGUCUAUGGAGAAAAAUCUUCCAACCCUCAGACAGGUCAAGUCAGAAGCUGAGGAUUUGCUCCUCAUCAACAUCUAGUCAAAGUUCUCCUACCAUGAAUACACUUGAUAAUGAAACAGAUAAGAUGAGAAAUGAACCACACUUUUUUUUUUUUUUUGGUCUUUUUAGGACUGCACUUGAGGCAUAUGGAAUCCCUUUAAAAAGACAAAAAAAAAAGAAAAAAAUUCUGGUAUGUAUAGACCCAAAACUAUGGCAGUUGAGUGCAACUGUAUGCGAAAUUGCUUGUUUUAUGUAUUCCAGUGAGAAAUAUUUUAAAAAUACAUUUUAAUAAACUACGCUAAAAGAGAGAUGAAAGUAUUUUUCCCUUCUCUAUAUAGAAAAUAUUACAAAAUUGUCAUGUGAAGAGGUAAUCAAAGAGUAUGCCACCUAAAAUGUAGGAGCAGAAGUAUUAUAAAGCUAUGUCCAUAAUGUGUUUGUUACUAAGCUGCCUGUUGCUCUGUAUGGUAUGAUAUUUGAUUAACUAUCGCUUUAAAAAAAAAGAAAUCUGGGAGUUCCCGCCGUCGCUCAGUGGUUAACGAAUCUGACUAGGAAUCAUGAGGUUGCGGGUUUGAUCCCUGGCCUUGCUAAGUGGGUUAAGGAUCUGGCGUUGCCGUGAGCUGUGGUAUAGGUCACAGACGCGGCUUGGAUCCCGUGCUGUUGUGGCUCUGGUGUAGGCCGGUGGCUACAGCUCCAAUUUGACCCCUAGCCUGGGAACUUCCAUAUGCCGCGGGAGUGGCCCAAGAAAUGGCAAAAAUACCAAAAAAAAAAAAAAAAAAAAAAGAAAUUUGACAUUUCUUGUGAUUUUUUUUCUCUUCCAAAAUAAGCAUUCAGGGAGUUCCCAUCGUGGUGCAGUGGAAAUGAAUCCGACUAGGAACCAUGAGGUUGCGGGUUUGAUCCCUG
Molecule: long non-coding RNA, 3995 nt
Filed under: Sus scrofa (pig)
Lineage: Eukaryota; Metazoa; Chordata; Mammalia; Artiodactyla; Suidae
Description: lncRNA (ENSSSCG00035052506.1)
Source: RNAcentral